RNAcentral lists this ribosomal RNA (484 nucleotides) under uncultured bacterium. RNAcentral describes it as "partial 16S ribosomal RNA". It matches the Rfam family "Bacterial small subunit ribosomal RNA", at positions 30 to 507 of the family's 1533-position model. The record is from RNAcentral.
AUUGAACGCUGGCGGCAGGCCUAACACAUGCAAGUCGAGCGGAUGAAGGGAGCUUGCUCCUGGAGUCAGCGGCGGACGGGUGAGUAAUGCCUAGGAAUCUGCCUGGCAGUGGGGGAUAACGUCCGGAAACGGGCGCUAAUACCGCAUACGUCCUGAGGGAGAAAGUUGGGGAUCUUCGGACCUCACGCUAUCAGAUGAGCCUAGGUCGGAUUAGCUAGUUGGUGGGGUAAAGGCCUUCCAAGGCGACGAUCCGUAACUGGUCUGAGAGGAUGAUCAGUCACACUGGAACUGAGACACGGUCCAGACUCCUACGGGAGGCAGCAGUGGGGAAUAUUGGACAAUGGGCGAAAGCCUGAUCCAGCCAUGCCGCGUGUGUGAAGAAGGUGUUCGGAUUGUAAAGCACUUUAAGUUGGGAGGAAGGGCAGUAAGUUAAUACGUUGCUGUUUUGACGUUACCAACAGAAUAAGCACCGGCUAACUUCGUG